UUUUGAAUUUUUAAUUUAAGCAGUUAAGAGUUUAUGGGGGAUACCUAGGUAUUCAAAAGCGAUGAAGGACGUGGUUACCGACGAAAUGCUUCGAGGAGUUGGAAACUAAUUAAGAUUCGAAGAUAUCCGAAUGAGGAAACUCUGAGUACUUUUAACUAAGAGCGAACCUAAGGAACUGAAACAUCUUAGUACUUAGAGGAAUAAAAAGUAAAAAACGAUUUUCUUAGUAGUGGCGAGCGAAAAGGAAGAAGUCUAAACUUAAUAGUCUAGUUUUUCUGUUUAAAUUAGUGAAUUUGGUACACUAUUUUGUUAAUUUAACUUAAAGAGUAUUCUAAUAAGUGUUGUGGGGUUAAAUAGUUUCGCGUGUGAAAGUGUAUCGGGUUGCUCAAUGAUUUAAAUUAUGUAAAAAGGUAAAUGAAUAAAUUGGAAUAUUUAGCCAGAGAAAGUAAAAGCCUUGUAAUUGAUUCGAUUUUAAUUUCAGUUUCUCCCGAGUAGUAUAGAACAUGUAUUAUUCUGUAUGAAUCUGCGAGAACCAUCUCGUAAGACUAAAUAUUCUUGAAUGACCGAUAGUGAAAAAGUACCGUGAGGGAAAGGUGAAAAGAACCUCGGAUAGGGGAGUGAAAAGAACAUGAAACCAUAAACUUACAAUCAAUAGAAGAACGACUAAUAACGUUUGACUGUAUGCCUGUUGAAGAAGGAGCCGACGACUUAUAAUUUUUGGCAGGUUAAAAUUUAUUUAUUGGAGCCAUAGUGAAAGCGAGCUUUAACAAAGCGUAUGUCAUAAAUUAUAGACCCGAACCCGGAUGAUCUAACCAUGAUCAGGUUGAAGUUUUAUUAAACUAAAAUGGAGGACCGAACCGAUUGAUGCUGAAAAAUCAUCGGAUGAAUUGUGGUUAGGGGUGAAAUGCCAAUCGAAUUCGGAGCUAGCUGGUUCUCCUCGAAAUGCGUUUUGGCGCAGCGAUAAUUAUUAUAAUAACUUAGGGGUAAAGCACUGUUAUAUACGUAGGCUGGUAAAACGGUACCAAGUUAUGGCAAACUAAGAAUACUAAGUGAAAAAUUUAUCAGUGAGACUAUGAGGGAUAAGCUUCAUUGUCAAAAGGGAAACAGCCCAGAAUACUAGUUAAGGCCCUCAAAAAAUUACUAAGUGAUAAAGGAAGUAAAAACACAUAAACAAUUAGAAGGUUGGCUUAGAAGCAGCAAUCCUUUAAAGAGUGCGUAAUAGCUCACUGAUUUAGUGAUUUUGCACCAAAAAUGAAUGGGACUAAGUAAUUUGCCGAAACUGUAUAAUAUAUUAAUUUAUAUUGGUAGAGGAGCGUUCUGUUACGGGUAGAAGUAUUAAUGAAAAUGAAUAUGGACUAAGCAGAAGUGAGAAUGUCGGCUUGAGUAACGAAAAUAUAGGUGAGAAUCCUAUACCCCGAAAAUUCAAGGUUUCCUAUGGAAGGUUCGUCCGCAUAGGGUAAGUCAGAACCUAAGACGAGGCUGAAAAGAAUAGUCGAUGGAUAACAGGUUAAUAUUCCUGUACUAAUCUUGUAGCGUGAUUAAUAAGGAAUGACGAAAGAGGCUACUAUUUUUUGAAAAAUGGUUUUUCAAAUGAAGCAUAUAAGGUAUUAAAAAUAGAAGAAAAUAUUUUUAGCUGAAUUGCGAUAAUUAUAAUAUAAUGAUAUUAUAAAAAUAUAUGUCAUAUUUCCAAGAAAAGUUCUUUUUAUUUGGCUAAUGGAUAUCUGUACCAUAACCGACACAGGUGAAUAGGUAGAAUAUACUAAGGGGCGCGAGAGAACUCUCCCUAAGGAACUCGGCAAAAUGGCUCUGUAACUUCGGAAUAAGGAGUGCCUUUAAGGUUGCAAUAAAAUGAUCCAAACAACUGUUUAUCAAAAACACAGGUUUCCGCUAAGUCGUAAGACGAUGUAUGGGAGCUGACGCCUGCCCAGUGCCAAAAAGUUAAAGAAGUUGUUAAUAUUUAAUUAUAUUAAUAAUAACGUAAGCUUUGGUGAACGGCGGCCGUAACUAUAACGGUCCUAAGGUAGCGAAAUUCCUUGUCGGGUAAGUUCCGACCUGCACGAAAGGCGUAAUGAUUUGGGUACUGUCUCAGGGAGAGACUCGGUGAAAUAGACUUGUCUGUGAAGAUGCGGACUACCUACACCAGGACAGAAAGACCCUAUGAAGCUUUACUGUAAUUUGAAAUUGAUAUAAAAUUAUAUUUGUACAGCAUAGAUAGGAGGUUUUGAUUAAAUUAAAUUUAUGUAUUUAUGAGCCAUCAGUGAGAUACUAUCCAAAUAUAAUUAUAUAUCUUAUUUUAUAUAAAAACCUAUUAAAAAACAGUUUCUGAUGGUCAGUUUGACUGGGGCGGUCGCCUCCUAAAGAGUAACGGAGGCGCACAAAGGUUUCCUCUGAACGUAUGGAAAUCGUAUCUAGAGUGUAAAGGCAUAAGGAAGCUUGACUGUGAGAUUUACAAAUCAAGCAGGGACGAAAGUCGGUCUUAGUGAUCUGAUAGUUCUAAAUGGAAAGGCUAUCACUCAACGGAUAAAAGUUACUCUAGGGAUAACAGGCUGAUCUCCCUCGAGAGUUCAUAUCGACGGGGAGGUUUGGCACCUCGAUGUCGGCUCAUCGCAUCCUGGAGCGGUAGCACGUUCCAAGGGUUGGGCUGUUCGCCCAUGAAAGCGGUACGUGAGCUGGGUUCAGAACGUCGUGAGACAGUUUGGUCCAUAUCCGGUGUAGGCGUAAGAAUAUUGAAAGGAACUUUUUUUAGUACGAGAGGACCAAAAAAGAUAUACCAAUGGUGUACCAGUUAUUGUACCAACAGUAAACGCUGGGUAGCUACGUAUAUAAUAGAUAACCACUGAAAGCAUAUAAGUGGGAAACUUACCUUAAGAUAAUUAUUCUUUUUUAAUUUUAAAAUAAGAUCACGGUUAGACGAACCGGUUGAUAGGCAUCAAGUAAAAGUAUAGAGAUAUAUGUAGCUAAGAUGUACUAAUAGAUCGAA
Molecule: ribosomal RNA, 2980 nt
Filed under: Nitzschia putrida
Lineage: Eukaryota; Bacillariophyta; Bacillariophyceae; Bacillariales; Bacillariaceae
Description: 23S rRNA
Rfam family: Bacterial large subunit ribosomal RNA
Source: RNAcentral